RNAcentral lists this ribosomal RNA (1470 nucleotides) under metagenome. RNAcentral's name for it is "bacterial SSU rRNA". It matches the Rfam family "Bacterial small subunit ribosomal RNA". The record is from RNAcentral.
AGAGUUUGAUCAUGGCUCAGGACGAACGCUGGCGGCACGCUUAACACAUGCAAGUCGAACGAGAGAAGAGGAGCUUGCUUUUCUGAUCUAGUGGCGGACGGGUGAGUAACACGUGAGCAAUCUGCCUUUCAGAGGGGGAUACCGAUUGGAAACGAUCGUUAAUACCGCAUAACAUAAUUGAACCGCAUGAUUUGAUUAUCAAAGAUUUAUCGCUGAAAGAUGAGCUCGCGUCUGAUUAGCUAGUUGGUAAGGUAACGGCUUACCAAGGCGACGAUCAGUAGCCGGACUGAGAGGUUGAUCGGCCACAUUGGGACUGAGACACGGCCCAGACUCCUACGGGAGGCAGCAGUGGGGAAUAUUGCACAAUGGAGGAAACUCUGAUGCAGCGAUGCCGCGUGAGGGAAGAAGGUUUUAGGAUUGUAAACCUCUGUCUUCAGGGACGAAAAAAGACGGUACCUGAGGAGGAAGCUCCGGCUAACUACGUGCCAGCAGCCGCGGUAAUACGUAGGGAGCGAGCGUUGUCCGGAAUUACUGGGUGUAAAGGGAGCGUAGGCGGGAUCGCAAGUCAGAUGUGAAAACUAUGGGCUUAACCCAUAAACUGCAUUUGAAACUGUGGUUCUUGAGUGAAGUAGAGGUAAGCGGAAUUCCUAGUGUAGCGGUGAAAUGCGUAGAUAUUAGGAGGAACAUCAGUGGCGAAGGCGGCUUACUGGGCUUUAACUGACGCUGAGGCUCGAAAGCGUGGGGAGCAAACAGGAUUAGAUACCCUGGUAGUCCACGCCGUAAACGAUGAUUACUAGGUGUGGGGGGACUGACCCCUUCCGUGCCGCAGCAAACGCAAUAAGUAAUCCACCUGGGGAGUACGACCGCAAGGUUGAAACUCAAAGGAAUUGACGGGGGCCCGCACAAGCAGUGGAGUAUGUGGAUUAAUUCGAAGCAACGCGAAGAACCUUACCAGGUCUUGACAUCGUAUGCAUAGCUCAGAGAUGAGUGAAAUCUCUUCGGAGACAUAUAGACAGGUGGUGCAUGGUUGUCGUCAGCUCGUGUCGUGAGAUGUUGGGUUAAGUCCCGCAACGAGCGCAACCCUUACUGUUAGUUGCUACGCAAGAGCACUCUAGCAGGACUGCCGUUGACAAAACGGAGGAAGGUGGGGAUGACGUCAAAUCAUCAUGCCCCUUAUGACCUGGGCCUCACACGUACUACAAUGGCUGUCAACAGAGGGAAGCAAAGCCGCGAGGUGGAGCGAACCCCUAAAAGCAGUCUUAGUUCGGAUUGUAGGCUGCAACCCGCCUACAUGAAGUCGGAAUUGCUAGUAAUCGCAGAUCAGCAUGCUGCGGUGAAUACGUUCCCGAGCCUUGUACACACCGCCCGUCACGCCAUGGGAGUCGGUAACACCCGAAGCCUGUAGUCUAACCGCAAGGAGGACGCAGUCGAAGGUGGGAUUGAUGACUGGGGUGAAGUCGUAACAAGGUA